This 517-nucleotide ribosomal RNA is filed under the name uncultured microorganism. Its description in RNAcentral is "bacterial SSU rRNA". It matches the Rfam family "Bacterial small subunit ribosomal RNA", at positions 9 to 520 of the family's 1533-position model. The record is from RNAcentral.
GAGUUUGAUCCUGGCUCAGAUUGAACGCUGGCGGCAGGCCUAACACAUGCAAGUCGAGCGGAUGAAGGGAGCUUGCUCCUGGAUUCAGCGGCGGACGGGUGAGUAGUGCCUAGGAAUCUGCCUGGGUAGUGGGGGAUAACGUCCGGAAACGGGCGCUAAUACCGCAUACGUCCUGAGGGGAGAAAGUGGGGGAUCUUCGGACCUCACGCUAUCAGAUGAGCCUAGGUCGGAUUAGCUAGUUGGUGGGGUAAAGGCCUACCAAGGCGACGAUCCGUAACUGGUCUGAGAGGAUGAUCAGUCACACUGGAACUGAGACACGGUCCAGACUCCUACGGGAGGCAGCAGUGGGGAAUAUUGGACAAUGGGCGAAAGCCUGAUCCAGCCAUGCCGCGUGUGUGAAGAAGGUCUUCGGAUUGUAAAGCACUUUAAGUUGGGAGGAAGGGCAGUAAGUUAAUACCUUGCUGUUUGACGUUACCAACAGAAUAAGCACCGGCUAACUUCGUGCCAGCAGCCGCCG